GGGCAAUUAGCUCAGUCCGGUUAGAGCACUGCAUUCACAUUGCAGGGGUCACAGGUUCGAGUCCUGUAUUGCCCACCA
Molecule: transfer RNA, 78 nt
Filed under: Patescibacteria group bacterium
Lineage: Bacteria
Description: tRNA-Val
Rfam family: tRNA
About the family: Transfer RNA (tRNA) molecules are approximately 80 nucleotides in length. Their secondary structure includes four short double-helical elements and three loops (D, anti-codon, and T loops).
Source: RNAcentral